This 760-nucleotide ribosomal RNA is filed under the name Psychrobacter sp. EA6. RNAcentral describes it as "bacterial SSU rRNA". It matches the Rfam family "Bacterial small subunit ribosomal RNA", at positions 71 to 827 of the family's 1533-position model. Lineage: Bacteria; Pseudomonadati; Pseudomonadota; Gammaproteobacteria; Moraxellales; Moraxellaceae. The record is from RNAcentral.
GAUGGUAGCUUGCUACCAGGCGUCGAGCGGCGGACGGGUGAGUAAUACUUAGGAAUCUACCUAGUAGUGGGGGAUAGCUCGGGGAAACUCGUAUUAAUACCGCAUACGACCUACGGGAGAAAGGGGGCAGUUUACUGCUCUCGCUAUUAGAUGAGCCUAAGUCGGAUUAGCUAGAUGGUGGGGUAAAGGCCUACCAUGGCGACGAUCUGUAGCUGGUCUGAGAGGAUGAUCAGCCACACCGGGACUGAGACACGGCCCGGACUCCUACGGGAGGCAGCAGUGGGGAAUAUUGGACAAUGGGGGAAACCCUGAUCCAGCCAUGCCGCGUGUGUGAAGAAGGCCUUUUGGUUGUAAAGCACUUUAAGCAGUGAAGAAGACUCCGUGGUUAAUACCCACGGACGAUGACAUUAGCUGCAGAAUAAGCACCGGCUAACUCUGUGCCAGCAGCCGCGGUAAUACAGAGGGUGCAAGCGUUAAUCGGAAUUACUGGGCGUAAAGGGAGCGUAGGUGGCUCGAUAAGUCAGAUGUGAAAUCCCCGGGCUCAACCUGGGAACUGCAUCUGAUACUGUUGAGCUAGAGUAUGUGAGAGGAAGGUAGAAUUCCAGGUGUAGCGGUGAAAUGCGUAGAGAUCUGGAGGAAUACCGAUGGCGAAGGCAGCCUUCUGGCAUAAUACUGACACUGAGGCUCGAAAGCGUGGGUAGCAAACAGGAUUAGAUACCCUGGUAGUCCACGCCGUAAACGAUGUCUACUAGUCGUUGGG